This 492-nucleotide ribosomal RNA is filed under the name uncultured bacterium. RNAcentral describes it as "partial 16S ribosomal RNA". It matches the Rfam family "Bacterial small subunit ribosomal RNA", at positions 29 to 507 of the family's 1533-position model. The record is from RNAcentral.
AGUGAACGCUGGCGGUAGGCCUAACACAUGCAAGUCGAACGGCAGCACAGUAAGAGCUUGCUCUUACGGGUGGCGAGUGGCGGACGGGUGAGGAAUACAUCGGAAUCUACUUUUUCGUGGGGGAUAACGUAGGGAAACUUGCGCUAAUACCGCAUACGACCUACGGGUGAAAGCAGGGGAUCUUCGGACCUUGCGCGAUUGAAUGAGCCGAUGUCGGAUUAGCUAGUUGGCGGGGUAAAGGCCCACCAAGGCGACGAUCCGUAGCUGGUCUGAGAGGAUGAUCAGCCACACUGGAACUGAGACACGGUCCAGACGCCUACGGGAGGCAGCAGUGGGGAAUAUUGGACAAUGGGCGCAAGCCUGAUCCAGCCAUACCGCGUGGGUGAAGAAGGCCUUCGGGUUGUAAAGCCCUUUUGUUGGGAGAGAAAAGCAGCAGGUUAAUACCCCGCUGUUCUGACGGUACCCAAAGAAUAAGCACCGGCUAACUUCGUG